CAGCCGCCGCGGUAAUACCGGCGGCCCGAGUGGCGGUCACUAUUAUUGGGCUUAAAGCGUCCGUAGCCGGGUUGGGAAGUCCUCCGGGAAAUCUGGCCGCUUAACGGUCAGAAUGCCGGAGGAUACUCCCAGCCUAGGGAGCGGGAGAGGCCGAGGGGAUUCCCGGAGUAGGGGGGAAAUCCUAUAAUCCCGGGAGGACCACCUGUGGCGAAGGCGCUCGGCUGGAACGCGUCCGACGGUGAGGGACGAAGGCCAGGGGAGCAAACCGGAUUAGAUACCCGGGUAGUCCUGGCUGUAAACGAUGCGGACUUUGUGUCGGACAAGCUAUGAGCUUGUCCGGUGCCGGAGGGAAACCGUUAAGUCCGCCGCCUGGGGAGUACGGCCGCAAGGCUGAAACUUAAAGGAAUAGGCGGG
RNAcentral lists this ribosomal RNA (414 nucleotides) under uncultured microorganism. RNAcentral describes it as "bacterial SSU rRNA". It matches the Rfam family "Archaeal small subunit ribosomal RNA", at positions 459 to 872 of the family's 1478-position model. The record is from RNAcentral.